CCUCCUCCUCCUCCCUCUAAUGCCUGUAACUCACAUCCGAGGCUGGGCGAGGAAUCCGGAGGGGAGAUUUUCCUCAUGCUCACGGUUGUUGGAAACUGGAAGAGUGAGAGGAAGGAGGAAGGGGAUUUGUGGCGCUCUCUACCUACUACAAGACUGACAAGGGGAGGGGGCACCUAAAUUUGCAUCUUUUCUUCGUGGUGAUUGAGAACUGCAGGUUCAAACCGAUCCCACUGAGCACUGGCGAUUGAUUAUAAAAAAAAAUCGACACUGGGAGAAGGGAGGCUCUGUCUUCGGCUGUCAGACUCAAUCUCGGAGGUGGUAUUGGGUGUCUAAGCUGCUGGAUUGCUUUUCGCCCAAAUCAAUGUGGUUUCUUUGGAACAUUUUCAGCAAAGGAACGCAUAUGCUGCAGUGUCUUUGUGGCAAGAGUCUUAAGAAAAACAAGAACCCAACUGGGAAAGCCAGCUGCCAUCAGGUGGGGACACUAGAGGAGCCCCAGGGAGCUCCCAUAUGGCAAGGAACUGAGACCUGCUGCCAACACCCAGGACCAAUUUGCCAUCCAUGAGAGUGGGCCGUCUCGAAAGUGGGAGAAUGUGGUCAGUGUUUCAGCCAGUGCUUGCUGCUGAGGCAGGAGAGAAUAAUUGUGUAAAGAGGGGGCUCCCGCAGUGCAGGACAGGAAGCCACCAUGUGAGCACCACAUCCACGUGCAGGUCGCAGGCUUCAUCAUGUCCUGAAUACCAUGCCUUAGCAUUUUAAGAUUUCAGGUUUCUACUUCUACAUCUCCAGCCCUGAAUACUCAUGGAAUAUCGCUGUACCUAUGACAGGUUGCAUGAUUUUUCCCCCUCUGUGCACUCAAUUUGUGUAUUAUUGUAUCAUAUGACAUUCUGAAUCAAGUGCUGCUAGUACCAAGCUGCUAUCAUCAGCUGAUGCCAAAAAUAUUCGUUAUAACACUUCUCAGCAUGCAAGUGAGAGCACUUCAAAUCACACAGACAGAAUUUCCAGCCAUUGUUCUUUUCUUCUUUGCUUAUUAUACAGCAACAAGAAUCAAAACAAAAGGGGAUUUAUUAGAAAAUAAUGCUUCAGUAAAAUGUUAUAAAACAUGAGGUUUAUUGUUUGUGAAGAUAGAGUGAAAUUCAGUACCACAUUAUAGAUACCACCUCAGAGGCCUAUUUUCCCCUUCUUUUCUCUUUUCUCAAAUGUUUUUCAAGUGGCAUCUUUUUUUCAGUCUUUGAUUACAUUAAGGUGCAAACUAUUUAUCCAUCUGGAAAUAAGCAAUACUGUCAACAGAGAACCAGGAAAUGAAAAGUGCAGCCGGCCAUAUGCGAGUGAAUGCUGAAACUUGGAAGCCAACUGACAAGAUGCCAGGGAUGGCAUGGCAAGGAAGAGAGAGCCUUCAUGGCAAUUUUGAAUACCUGAUCUCUUGCUUUCAUCAUCUUGUCUAGGGGAAGAAACACGGAGCCUGGUAGUUGGGAGGUGAGAGGCAGGAAUGGAUACCAGAGAUGGACAGACAGUGGGGUGGUGAGAAGGGAGCUGCAAUUUGCUAAUCCUUGUAGUACUACCUGUCAAUCAUCUUGCUUUCCUUAAUCAUCGAUCCUGGAGAGACUUUGAGGAAAGGGCUGGUGGAGUUGCGCAGAUGUGAUCUUCAUUUCAGCCUUAUGAAUACA
RNAcentral lists this long non-coding RNA (1661 nucleotides) under Homo sapiens (human). RNAcentral's name for it is "long non-coding RNA NONHSAT167162.1". Lineage: Eukaryota; Metazoa; Chordata; Mammalia; Primates; Hominidae. The record is from RNAcentral.